RNAcentral lists this ribosomal RNA (253 nucleotides) under uncultured bacterium. RNAcentral's name for it is "partial 16S ribosomal RNA". It matches the Rfam family "Bacterial small subunit ribosomal RNA", at positions 524 to 776 of the family's 1533-position model. The record is from RNAcentral.
UACAGAGGGUGCAAGCGUUGCUCGGAAUUACUGGGCGUAAAGGGCUCGUAGGUGGCCAACUAAGUCAGACGUGAAAUCCCUCAGCUUAACUGGGGAACUGCGUCUGAUACUGGAUGGCUUGAGUUUGGGAGAGGGAUGCGGAAUUCCAGGUGUAGCGGUGAAAUGCGUAGAUAUCUGGAGGAACACCGGUGGCGAAGGCGGCAUCCUGGACCAACACUGACACUGAGGAGCGAAAGCCAGGGGAGCAAACGGG